This 68-nucleotide transfer RNA is filed under the name Bos taurus (domestic cattle). It matches the Rfam family "tRNA". From Rfam's summary of the family: Transfer RNA (tRNA) molecules are approximately 80 nucleotides in length. The record is from Rfam by way of RNAcentral. Lineage: Eukaryota; Metazoa; Chordata; Mammalia; Artiodactyla; Bovidae.
CCUGGUGUCUCAGUGGUAAAGAACCUGCCUGUAAUGCAGGAGAACUGGGUUGGAUCCCCAGGUCAGGA